CUGAAGUCCUGGACAAUAAGAAGUCAUCUGUUUAUCCUACAGAACAGAUACAGAAUAAGCAAUAGAAGUGUAAGCUUCCCUACGCUGUUGUCAUUGUGAGUCAAGCCCUGACUUGGAGGGACUGUUUCUAGUGGCAGGAGGGUAGUUCAGCCUCCAUGGUCAUUCCAGGCCUUGACAUCU
RNAcentral lists this small RNA (180 nucleotides) under Chelonoidis abingdonii (Abingdon island giant tortoise). Its description in RNAcentral is "TUC338 (ENSCABG00000021415.1)". The record is from RNAcentral. Lineage: Eukaryota; Metazoa; Chordata; Testudines; Testudinidae.